UACGGGAGGCAGCAGUGGGGAAUAUUGCACAAUGGGCGAAAGCCUGAUGCAGCUAUGCCGCGUGUAUGAAGAAGGCCUUAGGGUUGUAAAGUACUUUCAUCGGGGAGGAAAAACAAAACUAAUAAUUUUAUUUCUUGACGUUACCCGAAAAAGAAGCACCGGCUAACUCCGUGCCAGCAGCCGCGGUAAUACGGAGGGUGCUAGCGUUAAUCAGAAUUACUGGGCGUAAAGAGCACGUAGGUGGUUUUUUUAAGUCAGAUGUGAAAUCCCUGGGCUUAACCUAGGAACUGCAUUUUGAAACUGAAAUACUAGAGUAUCGUAGAGGGAGGUAGAAUUCUAGGUGUAGCGGUGAAAUGCGUAGAUAUCUGGAGGAAUACCUGUGGCGAAAGCGGCCUCCUAAACGAAUACUGACACUGAGGUGCGAAAGCGU
Molecule: ribosomal RNA, 430 nt
Filed under: uncultured bacterium
Lineage: Bacteria
Description: bacterial SSU rRNA
Rfam family: Bacterial small subunit ribosomal RNA
Source: RNAcentral